GGAAUUCAUCGGCCCAUAUGGCUAGGACCUCGGGAACAAGGAUGGUGUAACCUGUUUCAGGAAUGGCUGGAUCUAGGGGCUCAAACGAUGCUCUCUGAACAUUGUCUUGCUCUGUCUCUGAGCUAUGAUUUCUCCAGGUCCUGGACAAGAUGUAAGCUUCAGCCAAAAUCCACCACCUUAGCAGUCACAGUGGAAAGGGAACUUUCUUUUCUAAUGGUUAAAGCAAAAGUUCUGUCCUUAUCCAGGCCUGGGUCUUUUGCCUCUCCCUGGGGUGGAGGUAGGGGGAACAAGAGCAGUCCCAUCUGACACACACGGACUGUAGCAGAAGGAGCGGUGGUUGGUGAUAGAGAAAUCAAAGCGCCAAGACCAAAAGAAGAGGACAAGGAUGCCCGGCAAGAAUCUUUACUCCCACCAGCAGUGUCUGAGAGGACGCCUCCCCGCAAACCCUCACCAACGAUCUUUCCUGUUUCCCAGUUACAGAGGUGAAAAUGUUUUAUUUUGCAUUAAAAACUAUUUUUAUAUGUUUAUUGGCCAGUUGUAAUCCUUCUUCUGUGAAUUGAUCCUUUAAAAAAUUAGAGCCUUCACCUUUUCAUAUUGAUUUCUUCGCAUAUGCAUGUCCGUCCAGUGUCGCAUGCAUGGAGCUGCCUGUCCUUCCAUUGGGGCAACUCUGCCCAAGUCAGGGCAGCUUUAAAACACGUGUUAAGAUCUGCAGUCCUGGUCCCGCUCGUGAUGAGGCCUCUCCAUGCUUUUGCAUGGCUAUUUUCCCAAAUAUCUUAUUAAGCUGUAAGAAGAAAUCUCUUUGUCAGAAUUACAUUAAAUUGAUAAAUUUAUUUAAGGAGAACAGCCAGUCCUCCACUCAAGGAAUGUGGUUUAUCUUUGCAUGUACUCUUUGUGUAUUUUGUUAAAGGCUUGAGGUUUUCUGUUUCUACUUGUGUUGCUAUUACUAAUAUAAUACAUAAUAUACAUAUUAUACACAUAUUAUAUAAUCUGCUUUUUUUUUUACUAACAUUUAAAAGCUAUUGAUUUUUAUAUAAUUAUUGUAUAACUGGUCUCCUUUCUUGUUUUUUUAAUGUAAAUGAUCAUAGGAUGUGCAAAUGACAAUAAAUUCAACACCUUUCUAAUAGUCCUCUUUUAUUUCUUUUUCUUGUCAUUCUGCAACGACUGGAAUUCGGGGACCAAUGUUAAGCAGUAGUGGUGAUGAUUUUGGCCUAAUAUUAGUGGAAAUAUCCCAAGUAUUAACCGUGAACUAAGACAUUAGUUUGAGAUAGUUAAGAAAAGCAGGGCCGGCCCUGUGGCUGAGUGGUUAAGUUCGUGUGCUCUGCUUUGGUGGCCCAGAGUUUCAGCAGUUCAAGUCCUGGGUAUAGACAUGGCACGGCUCAUCAAGCCAUGCUAAGGCGGCGUCCCACAUGGCACAGCUAGAAGGACCCACAACUAAAAGUAUACAACUAUGUACUGGGGGGCUUGGGGGAGAACAAGGAAAAAUAGACUCUUUAAAAAAAAAAAAAGGAAAGCAGCCAUCUAAUUCUUAGUGUGAUAGUUUUUGUUUGCUUUAAAAUCAGGAAUAGCUGCCAGGAUGGGUUUAAAUAUUGGUAUAAUUCUAUUGAUUUUACCCAGGCUGCUCAAUGAAUUUAUACAUGGGAAACUUUCUUUUUCCAAUUCAGGAAAGUUUCUUUAGUUAUAUCUUUGAUUAUUAGGUCUGUUUUAAAGCUCUUGUUUUGUCUUCAGCAAUGUCUUUAAUUCUUAAUUUUUAUCUUCUUUCUCUGCUUUCUGCAUUUAUCAUCCUUUCUCUCAAUAUCUUGAACUUUUAUCCUUUUCUUCUGCGUUUUUGGAGGACUUUUGGCCUCCAUAUCAUGGAUUCAGCGUUCUAUCUUGUUGGGUCUAGUGACUUUACUGCUUCUCUAUAUUUUCGAAUUCCAUUGCACUGUUUUAGUACAUUUAUAUUAUUUUCUUACCCGAUCCAAUUCCCUUUUUGAAAAAAUUUUACUGGCCUUUGCCUCUCAUCUAGACAUCUUCUCAUGUCUGUCUACCGUUGGAGAACAUCAUCUCCAGCUACUGUUUCAGAGUCCACAUUUUAAUUCUGUUGGGAUCAUAAUGAAAUUUACCAUCUAGACCUUACUUCAGGUCUCUGCUGUAACUGUGAUGUCAGCUGGAAUCAACCUGUCCCCGGAGAGCCAGAUGACCUUGGGUCAGCCUUCCCCUGUAGGCCCUGUGGGUGUUCAAUGCCGCACACAAGAUUUCCGUGGAUUCCUUGUGGUCACCUCUUGCCCCAGUUUCCUGCUUCUGCUCCUCUAGACCUGAUUUGUUUCUUCUGCGUCAUGCUUGCUCUCUUCUCUGCUCAGGGCCUAACUUCCCCUCAAGGCUGUUCAACCUCUAGCCCUUCUUCUCAGACUCUCCCCCCAUUAUGGCCCCUCUGAUCUGCUCCAGCCCCUCCCAAGGCUGGUUCAUUUCCCUAUCUCUUGAUCUUUUUGCUCACCAGACCAUCUUGGCCAUGCCUAGAAGGCUUCAUCUUCAAAGCUAGUCAUGCUCUGCAAGAUAUGUUCUUAAACAAAGACAUUUCACUCCCUGUGGGAAAUUACGUCUUCAGCUCAUAAAAUAAUAUUUUUUCCUUGCCAGUACACUGCACUUCACCUUAGUCAACAGCAUGACUUUCCUCUUGAGUGCUAUGUUCUCUGCCUUUUCAGAUACAGAAUAUUUUCAUGGUUUCCACAUUGGUUUUUUUCUGCCUUUCUACCUUUAAAAAUUGGAAGAUUUAUCUAAACUUCCCAUAAGGCCCUGAAACAGGGCAAAAUGAUUCUCUAGGGAUCCCAUAGCUGUCCCAUCACAGCACCCCCACAACCCGUCUCCUCCCCUCUCCAGCCAGAUGCAGCUAUGAUCUUCAUUUGAAGGCCUCUGAUCCUCAGCCAAAGGGAAGGAAAAGGGCUCCCGGGCUAUAGCUGAUGGGAAGCCUGUUCGAGGAUACACCUGAGCCACUUUCUCUGAUGGCCGUGUGACCAGCCUAGGGGCCCCAGGUCCAGGUAUAGCCUGCCUAUUGUGCCCACCAACUCAGGAAGGGGCUCCCUCCUUCUCCAUGGGGUAGCCACUUGUAACUUUGGGCCUCCUGCACAGCUAUUUUUAAAGGUAGAAAGGAUCGUGAGUGGAGUGAUGGCCCCAGGGCCUAUUUUUACCUUUCAUUUCUGUUCUUCCUAAUUAGGAGACAGUAGCAGGAUCCAGGCUCUCCAUCAAUGAUUCUAGGACUCUGCUUCCUGGGGAGAAGGAGGGUCAGGACGUCCUGGAGCUCUUCUCCCACGCGCGCUGCCUGCUCUAGUCUAGCACAAAUUCCCCAACGUUUCUGCAGUGAGGAUGGCAUCCUCUUCCAGCCAUGGCACGGAGGCUCUUCACUGUGUCUUAUUCCUUUCUUCCAGGGACCGGGGGUGCGAGCCCCUAGAUCCCCUGGGGACGCCAGACUCUAAUAACCAAAAUAAUCUAAGGAGUGAAGAAACAGCAGGCACCUUUCAGAGAGGACGCGCUGCAGCCAAAACAUGGACCUGGGGUUGGCUCUGCACCAAGGUGCUGUCUUGAACUUGGAGAAGUUCCAUCUGUUUAGUAACCAAAAUCCAGGGGGAAAAAAACUGCUCUCAGUAAACUCAAAUUAAGUGGCAGUGGUAGAAAGAUACGGACAAGAUGAGGUUCCAUUUGGUAAGCCAAGUAUGGCACAACUGGUCUAAACGGGUCCAAUGUAAAAUCUCUGUGAGGUCUUCAUGCUCCCCUAACCUGUUGCAUAAACAAGAGUCUUUUGCUUUGCCACACUUUAGAACAUUAUUAAUAAUUAAACAGCAUCAUUUCUAAUAAUACCAACAUGUUAUUGAAUUAACAUAUUUUAAAAAUUUAAAGCUAAACUGAAAUGUGAAAACAUAAGUGAAAUCAACUCUGUCCAUACAAAAAUUUUUAAGUGAUGUUAUAAUAGUCUCCAUCACCAUUUCUUUAGCAAAAUCAUCAAUACGUUUUGCACCUCCAGUUGUUUGAACUACUAUGUUUCAAGUACUCUGUUAAAUAUUAUUGCCCUUCCUUAGCAUUUUCCCCAGACUUCCCUGACUGUCGAUCCAAAGCCCCUGAAGACCACAUAGGUGCCUCCACCACUCAGGACCUGGUGCUCAGCGUGGCUGCAAACAAUCUGCAACUCUCAGCAUCCGCCAACACAGGUUAAGUCCCAGUGCUUUCAGCUUUAGUCCUUUGCUCUCAAUACAAAAGGUGACUAAGAACAAUGCCUUGAAGUGAGUGAGUUGGGUAACAGCAAGCAUUAACAAUAGAUGCUUCCUGGGCCAACCCUGGUGUCCUAGUGGUUAAGUUCAGUGCCUUCCACUUCAGUGGCCUGGGUUCAGUUCCUGGGCUCAGACCUACACCCUUGUCUGUUGGUGGCCAUGCUGUGGCAGUAGCCCACAUACAAAAAGAGGAAGAUUGGCAGCAGAUAUUAGCUCAGGGCAAAUCUUCCCUAGCAAAAAAAAAAAAAGAUAUUUCCUAGACUGCAGGGAGAAUAUUUAGGUAAGAGAAACACCAAAUUGAUUAACUUGUCACCUCUUUCCUCUCAGAUAGCGUGAAUGCAACAGAUUCUUGCUUAAUGAGGCAUCAUUUCUCAGGAGUGCUGGGCUCCAUUGUCUUUCUUCUCUUUGUGUUCUAAUUUGUGGUCCUGGAGGUACUCACAAGUUAGCAAAAUAGCACAAUGUUCAAAACAGUCGUACAUGCUGGCCAGGAAAGAUUUUGCAACAUUAAACAAUUCACUUUUCAACUACAUCUAAAUACAUAAUACGUGUGAAGUGUAAUAUUACCUUUACAAAGGCUGCUACAUGGAUGUUAUUCUAGAAAUGCAUAGUUUUAAAAUGAAAAUAGUUAACAAAUUUAGUAAAAUUUUCAAAAACAAAAAAACUUUUUGG
Molecule: long non-coding RNA, 4907 nt
Filed under: Equus caballus (horse)
Lineage: Eukaryota; Metazoa; Chordata; Mammalia; Perissodactyla; Equidae
Description: lncRNA (ENSECAG00000059531.1)
Source: RNAcentral